Molecule: long non-coding RNA, 1837 nt
Organism: Vicugna pacos (alpaca)
Lineage: Eukaryota; Metazoa; Chordata; Mammalia; Artiodactyla; Camelidae
Source: RefSeq, a predicted model, not a curated record
CCCCGCUCCUUCCUCUUCAGUGCGAGUGAGCACGAGCCUGGACUUUCGGGGACUCCCUUCCCCUAGCCUCGCAGAGACCUUCCGUGGCUCCCCGCCCCCAGUCCCGCCGCUCAGACGUGGCUGCUGGGGGGGGGCCAGGGGGUGCGGUAUAAAGGGCGGGAGGCAGCGCGGGCCGAGACCCGAGACGUGGCGCGUCCACUCUGCUGGCCUCGACUCCAGCCACAUGGUUAAACUGCCCCCUCAGAGGAGAGUAGCAGGGAGGGGGCUGCUGGAUGCUGGAUGCUCCCAGAAGAGAUCCCGAUGCUGCUGUGGCUCACAAGUGACCUUAAAAGGAACCCUCGCUGUGUGUGAGCCUUAGGAUGCAACGAGCUUGUAUUAAUAUCCUGAAAAACCUCAGCCCGGAAAGCGUGGUUCUGGAUGUUUACAUCUUAACUGGAUUUUCCUACCAGAGAGCCGGGGCACAUUACAGUCUUCAUCCGCAAGUAUUCUCUUUUCAGUCCUGUUUUUCUUCUUUUAUAUUCAUGGCAUCCAAGAAUUCACAAAAAGUGCUAGAUCAUCUGAUCGACCCCAUCAGUUGUUUUCUUAACAUGGCCAGACACAGGUAAAAAGAUAUGUCAUUUUAUGCCCCACUCAAAUUGCCUAGUCCUAUUUCUUGUUCAUGUAUUUUAAGUCUUUGGAAGACCCAUGGUUAUGGUUACAGGUGACACUGUGCUGCUCCCCAAAGUUAGGACAGAUGAAGAAUCACCAAGAGGGCCGAGUUCAGGGACUCAUCAGCUCUUCCCCGCAUCCCUUGAGCCCCACCAGAAACUCUUUAGGAUUUUUUUUUUUUGCCCAGGAAAUGCUCACCCCACUUUUAGUGCAGCAGCCUACUGUCCUGGCAGAGGUAAGCAGACCAGGUUUGUUCCAAAAGAGCAGCCCAGAAACUAGGACAGAAUAGAAAGAAAAUAGUACGGCACAUCUGAGAAUGAGCAUUAAUGAGCAUGGGACAAAGCGCAGGUUCCUGGAACUUAAAUGGAAGGACCAGGUCAACCACAAGGACACCAGUAGCCUGCCAGUCGGUGCAUGGGACACUCCAUCUUGUCCCCUUCUCCAAAGUCUGAGUUUCCACCUGAGUCCAUCCAGGGCCCGCUUCUGGCUUCCCGGGUCUGGUCAGGGGAACACGCUCUGCCACUGCUGGUUGUUCUGUGCAGGAUGGCACAGAGUGACUUGGCCCUGGCCCCAUCCGGGUCAGAUCUGCUCACCUAUGAGCUCUCCUGAGCUCACUCCACAAGUAAAAGCCCCCUUCCCAGACCUCACAGCCACGUUGAAGGGAGCAGCCUGCUUAAAAUCCACCCACUAGGAACCACAGCGCAAACUCAAGGAUGCAACAGCCAGAGCAUAUAUUCAACAAGAAAUGCUGACUUAUUUUUGACUUAGAAAAGUUGCGUAAUUAACCUCACUUUUAGGAAGGGCCUAUUAAUAAAAGACAUUGUUAUUUUACUUCAGCUAUGUAUCCAGAAGGUCAAAGUAGUCUAGAAAUCUGAGUGUAUUUUUUCCUUGUGUUUAUGGUUAAAUUUCUAGAUAUAUUUUUCUAGCAACCCAGUUUCCUUAAAAUAAAAUAAUAUGCUCAAAAUACCUCAAGUCAUCUCUUUUUAAGUGUGGUAUGGGGAGAAGAAAAAAAUGCCAAGUGUAGAAGAUUUUUGGAAUUUCUAGAGGAAAUGCAAAUGACUUGCAGCAUGGAGAUAAAGCAUUUGUAUGGUUUCCUGAGAGUAAUUUUCUGACUUUGAGCGCUGUGUAUACCUUGAGUAUCUAUAAGCAAAGAAUAGAUGUACUUUAAAAAAAAUAUGUUUAAUACUUA